GCAUGAUGUGGUUCGAUUGAAGGCUUCUAAUAAACGAGGAGCAGUCGUGGGCCAAUCUCAGCCGCGCGCUACUUUCCCGCUAGACUGAAAAUGGGCAACAGCGGGAGGACAAGAGUGCAACUACCUAGUGCUCUGGCGUCGACAACCAUCCCCGCGAACAUUUAUACUACGUCUACUGAUAGCAAUCGUUGGCCAAAUGUGUUCUGGAAACAGAUGCAGCCGUCUUUUUGACACAACAAAAUCCAAAGAAACUCAGCAAGCCGGGAUCCAGCAAAUCCCCCAGACGAGGAGAAUGACCGAGACAAAAUUCCUAUCUAUUGGAGCUUUGUACGCGAAAAUUUCUUAACCAUAUAUCGACAACAUUGGCUCCGGAUUUCCCGGUGUAUCGAGUUAUCCCACUGUUCUCGCACCCCUCAGGGUAGUCGUGCUCUGAUGGCCGUUUCGUCAAGCUGUUCAUUUUUAAAUGAGAGGAAUGAACUUUAACUUGUAAUUAAUUGGAUACGGACAUUGAAACGGUGGCAUUAGCAAUAUGGGGUCUAAGAUUCCGGCAUCACUCGCCCAGGGGUUUGCUGUUUACCUCUCUUCAUAAUGAACACGUAUGACCAACUCCCCUAAUUCUCCAUGAUUGCAUCUUUCCUUCCAGCCGAUCAAAAGAAUGUGUAUGCCUUUUCUAUCCCUGAUGCACAAAUAUUUUCACUCUGUAUUGUUAUAUGCAUCCUGACUGUCUCCAUUUAAUUGAUAUCAGUUCACAUCAUAUUUCUCAUAUUACCCUUCUUUCACCUUUCGAUUCCGACGACCAAACCAAAGCACCCAAGUAUUCGUUUUACAAUUGUAUUACUUUGAACCCCUCUCCAUCAAAAGAUUGAUACCCCUGGCACUAACCGUAUCCAACAAGGCCCCAAGACGAAGAGUGAAGGGGCUAAAAUCCCAAUAAAGGCCAUGAGUGCUGCAAUGAGAGGUACAGCAUUUGUACUCACCUUAGUAAAUAUCAGAAAGAUCUGUCCAUGAACACAUGUCAGAUGUGGAUCUCAAUCGCCGUCAGGGAUCAGGGGUUGAGAGGAGACCUCGCUCAUACCGAAGCUACAGCUGUCCAACUGCUUGCCGUCCGUUACGCUAAUUAAUAGGGAUCUUCAAUAUAUCUCCCUCUUUUCUCCCCUCCUUUUUUUUGUAAUGUAGCUUUUUUUUUGGUCUCCAUUUUUCUCAUGCGUAUGACGAAAUUUGGAGAGUGAGUCUCUCUGAUCAAGCCGCCGGCUAGAACUUGCGCCCAUAACAGGUUGAAUCCUGCAAAUGCUUUGCUUCUAGCCGAGUCGAAGCUUUCGGCAUCGAUAGAUAUACAGGGGUUGCUUUAACGUUUCUAUGCCCAACCAUCUUCAGUUCUAGUUAUUAGAAUAAUCUGCCCAACACCACGCCUAAAAACAUGGGUUCAGUGUAUCCAGAGCG
Molecule: small RNA, 1440 nt
Filed under: Histoplasma capsulatum var. duboisii H88
Lineage: Eukaryota; Fungi; Ascomycota; Eurotiomycetes; Onygenales; Ajellomycetaceae
Description: Histoplasma capsulatum H88 hypothetical RNA
Source: RNAcentral